GAUAGCUCAUUUGGUAGAGCAUGAGACUCUUAAUCCCAAGGUCGUAGGUUCGAGCCCCACAAAGGGUGUUGCA
Molecule: transfer RNA, 73 nt
Filed under: Podarcis lilfordi (Lilford's wall lizard)
Lineage: Eukaryota; Metazoa; Chordata; Lepidosauria; Squamata; Lacertidae
Description: tRNA.Lys
Rfam family: tRNA (bases 3-60)
About the family: Transfer RNA (tRNA) molecules are approximately 80 nucleotides in length. Their secondary structure includes four short double-helical elements and three loops (D, anti-codon, and T loops).
Source: RNAcentral